CAAAAACAAUAUUCAUUUAUUGUCAUUAUAAUUAUAAUAACCACAAAAAGACGUGAUGAAUAAUUUAUACAUAUAACUGAUUAAUGUUAUUAACAAUUACAAUAUAGUAAAAUAGACAUCAUUAAAUGUAAGUAGAGGUGCACCAUGUCAGUGUAGUAGUGGACGGCAUUUGAAACUGUUAUUUCAUGUCAAUACUGCGGCUGCGAAGUAAAUAGGUAUUUAGUUGCUGUUACGAAAUCACGACUUACAACUAAAGCUACGAGCACCGAUAUCGACAACCAACACGAAUAAACUGAUGUACAUUUCAAGAAUAUUAUGCAGUAUAUGAGCAUAAUGUAUGUUAAUAUUCCACCUUUAGCCAAACCUCUCAUGAUGAUUAUUAUUUACAUCAAACCAGACGUUUAGCGUUUCAACCGACAACGGAGUUGUGUUGUACUACUUCAUUUCUUACCCCCACCGCUUAUCACUGUUCAAAUGAAUAAUCAAAACGCUGGUCCGUCCAAAAACGCUUCUUUUCUUUGUUAGUUUGUGUUUCUUAUCGUUUGAUGUAUUAGUUAACCUUUUGAAGGAAAUGAACCACAUUACUUAAUAUUCACUAUCGUUUAUUAAAAUAUAGCAAUUAUUGAACAUCACAAAUCACUUCUAAUCUUAUUAAUAUUCUUUAUUAAUACCGUAUCGUAAACUUUGUUCUUAGUCGAAAAUUUUGGCGUUGUAUUUUACAUUCACAAGUAUAAAAUAAAAAUCGUACAAAAUACGAAGUUGCUGUUACGUAAGAUUCAUUCGUUUCAUGUUGUAGUUCCCCCACUUCUUACACCGUUUGGUUAGCAGCCAUUUGCAACCAUUUCUCGAUUAGCGCUUGCCGUGUGAGUAUCCAUCCAGUUACUGUUAGGAUUACCAUGCGUUGUUGAUUCCUUAAAUUUGUUGAGUUUGUUAAUGCUAACUGAUAAAUGUUUUAUAACCAACUGUAAAAUGGACAGACUUAAUGCAAGUGAUGAAGAAUCUGUCAAUGCAGAACGCAAUGAAAACAAAGAAGAUUUAUGCGGGCUAAAGAAGUAUUUGCCAUUUUUACAAAAUAUUAUUGAUAAUGCAAAAGAUUUGGAUAUUCAAGACUCGCAUUUGGAAAAAUUACGAUCAUUGUAUGAUAUGGUGGAUAAAAAAAAAUUAUUUAUUGGAUUGGUUUUACCAUUUGGAUUACCUGCUGCUAAAAUAAAGUGUUGUCAAAAUGUGAUUGACAAUUUGUACAAUAAAUAUCGUGAGGAUAUCAAUGCAUUAGUUAAAAAUAAUAUAGAGAAAAAAACUCAAAUUGAACAAAAAGAAUCUAAAAAAAGAUCAAAAGAAGACUCAAAUAGCCACGAAACAAAUUUUAAUCAUAGUGCUGAAAUGAAGGAAGAAUCAAUUUAUUAUAUGCAAAGCGUAGAUAAAAAAUAUAUUAAACCUAUUGAAGAAGAUAUUUCAAAAUCACAUAAUGAUAUGUCUUCUACAACCUCAAAUGAAAACCAGAGUGGUUUUUUGGAUAGUCGUUUAAGACUUAAUAAGUUUAUUGGUAUUGCUGCUAAUGCUACUUUAGAGAAACUUAAUAACACAGAUACAACAAAUAAGAUGAGUGAUUCAACCAUAAAAGAACUUGCAAAACAAGUAUAUGAUGGAUUAAAAAUGAAUCAACAAUUAGCUGGUAUGGAUAUUUUGAAUGGUGUAGAUUUAAAUGGAGUUGAUCUUAGUACUGUGAAAGAAGCUUUAAAAAAUGUGAAUCUUAAAAAAUUAAAUUAUUUGCCAUUACAACAGCCACCACUUCCACCUUCCAAUCUUUUAAAUGAAUGUGAUAUUGAUAAGCCCAAUGAAGUUUCAACAAUACAAUACAAUCAUAAUGUUGAAAUCCAAAAAUUAGCAAAAAUAGUUCAAGAAGACAAACAACAUUUAACUGAAAGUAUAUCAUCUAAGAAAAAUAGUAUUCGUGAUAAAUUAACCAGUGAUAUAAAUAUUAUCCACAAAAUUGGUAUAUCAACUGAAUUAAAGCCUAAAUGUAUUUCUGCAUUAAAACCUGGUACAUUAUUAGACCUUGAAAACUCAAAAAUUUCUCGUUCAUCUUUACACAUUGAGUCAUUAAGACCAAUAUCUAAAUCAAAUGACAAUAGCUCUAGUACUAAUUCUUUAAAAGCAGACAAAAUCAUUCAUCGUGAUCCAAGAAUGAGAAAAAAGUCUCUUACUUUUUCUAAUAAAGAAACAAUAAAAAUUAAUGAAAUUCCACCACUAAUGGCUUUAAAAAUUUGUCCACCACUUAUGGAUUUAAAAAUAUGUCCACCUGAAAUGCUUGAACUAAGACAACAAAAUCCUCAUUUAGAAAUGAAUCCUUGCCAUAAUGAACCAUUUAAUAAUACUCAGUUAAAAUCCUCUAAUAUUCAAUUAUCUUCAUGUGAUAAUAAAACUUUUGACAAUCGAAAACUACCAGAACAUAAUGGUGGCCAUAGUGAGCUUUGUGAAAAUGUUUGUCGUUCAUAUGUACAGAUAUCAAAUAAUCAAAGUUUUGAAACACAUUCUAUAAAUACUCAAACUAAUUUUAAAACAAAUGAUUGUCAAAAUAUAGAUUCCCAAAGGAAUGACUUAAUUCAUAAUUUUCCUAUAAGCACCUCAGUUGAUCAAAAUAAAAGUACUUACUAUUUUCAACAUGAAAAUUUGGGUAGACCAAAUGUAUCUAGAAAUUAUAAUGAUAGUAAGUCUUAUUGGAACGAUACUAAGUCAUUGAGAGCUGAUAACAAAGUAAUUGAACCUCAUUAUCGUAGCUAUAAGGAGUAUAGAGAAGCUAAAUAUGGCAAAGAAAAAAGUGGUGGAAAGCCAUAUUUUAAGCAUAACAAUAGAGAAAGGAAUAGGUUUCGAGAAAAUAACAGAGAUUAUUGUGAGAUUGACAAACAUAAAGUUGAUAAAUCUAAAGAUAGUAAUAUUUUUAACAGUUAUGGUGUCAUUAAAGAUUCAUCUAGUAUUAAGAGUUUUAAAAUACCUAAAAUUAAACGAAACACUGACAGUAUUGAAUCUAAUAGUACAACUAAUAACAUUGAAUUGGAAACUUCAAAAAUUAGACAAAAAAAUUCUAAAGCAUCUGGUAAGACAUUAAAUACUGUUUCGGAAAAAGAAUCUGCAAGGAAGAGUUACGAAGUUCUCAAUUCUGAUAUUAAUAACAUAAAUGAAUCAAAAAUUUGUGAGGAAAAAAAAUCUAUAAACGAAAAUGUAGAUAAAAUAAUUCAACCUCAAGAAACUAGAAAAUCUAAAAAACCAAAAAAAUAUAGCAAAGAGAAAGAAUUUGAAAAAAUAGUUAAAGAAGCAAAAGAAAGAACAAACAAUGAAAAGAGUGAGCCAAGAGUAAGGACUAGGAGUAGUUUGAAAAAAAAUUAUGAAGGACACGCCACAAUACUUAAAGAUCAAUUAAAUGAUGAAACCUCAGUGAUUACUGAUAUUGACAAAAACUUGAAUAAGCCCAAUAUUUCUGAAGAAUCUGUGGAUGUUGGUCAUAAUAUAAUUUCUUCUACAUCUAAAGAUUUAGAUGCUGAGGUAACUAUAAGUGUUUCAAUUGACAAGAUUUCUGAACAAUCUUCACAGGUUAUUUCUUCUAGUGAAGUUAACUCUACUGGUGAAUCUAUUAGUAAACCUGCAGUUCAAAAUUUAUUUCAAGUUUUAAAUAAUCCUAAAUUUAUGUCACUUAUAAAUGAGCUUCAUAAUGAAAAUGUUAUUGAUAAAUUUUGCAAUAUUCUUGAAAAUAUAAAGAACAAUGAAACGAGAGUUGAGUCUGAUGUAUUAUGCAAAGUUAAUAAAAGUAAAACAAAAAGUAAACGUAAUAAAAUAAAAGCUAAAAAUAUAAAAAAACAAAAAGUUCCCCCAAGUGAUAAUUUAUCUAAUCAAAAUGAUUCUAAUUCUAAGGAUGAUAAUAGUUCAGAUGAUGAUAAUUUCAGUUCCCUUAAAUCAACUUUUAAAAGACCUAAAAAUUUUAUUAAUAAUUCAAGUGAUAAUGAUAGUGCAGCUAGUUCUUCUGAAAUAAGUUCUGAUAAAUUAAAAUAUUCUGAAACAGCUAAAUUAAAAGAACUUAAGGUAGUUAUACCAAAACUAGAAAAAAGUGAUCCCUUAAACUUUAUUAAAACCCAAGAUAAAAGGAAUAUAUUUAACAAAUGUUCUUUAAAAUCUUCUAAACCAUUUGUAGGCCCAUUAAGUGUUAAAUUAGCUAAACAGAAAUUGGAAAAUAAACUUAGCGAUAAAGAAAUUAUUAAGAACAGUUCACCUAAUUACAUACCAAAAGUUAUACUACAUAAAGUUAAUGAACCAAGUGCUGAAAAUGUAAUUAAUACUACAAUUUUGAUUUCUAAUGAUAUGAAUCAUAAAAAUGUUGUAUCUGAAGAUAUUGAAGGUAUAUCAAGCACAAAUGAUAAAAAAUUCAAUGACACAUUAAUACUUGACAAUAAAUCUGAGCCAAAGAAGGUUAAACCAAAAAUGACUGAGUUAGACAAACUUCAUGCAGAUAUUAAAGAAAUGUAUGACAGUGAAGCUGUUAUUAAUGCUCCUAAUGUAAGACAUUGCAGAACUAAUAAAGUAGUAGAUUACGGUAGUACGAGUUUUGGAACAAUAACUGAGAAAAACAAAAUUGAAGCUGAUUUAUCUGAAAUGAAGAUUAAUGAGAAUGUAUCAGUAUCUAUCCCUGAACUUAGUAUAAAAUUAACCUCUAGGAAAAAAAAGCGUGGAAGAAAACCAAAAUCAAAAUUAUUUGUUAAGAAUAAUGAUAAAUCUAAUGUAGCUAAAAAUAUUGAUCAAUUACAAUCAAAUAAAAAUUAUCAAAACUUGUUAGAAAUAAAGUUAAAAAAAAAAAAGAAGUUAUCAAAACUUAAAAUUGCCAAAAAAAAUAAAUUAAAAAAUAGCAGGUUGUACAAAUUAAUUAAAAGUAAAUCUACAGUGUAUGUGCCAAAUUCUGAUAAUAUAACAAUCACUAAUUCAAUAAAUGUAAAAGAAAGUCAUCCAAUAGAUUACACAGAUAAACAUUAUUUUCAAGCACCUGGUUACACACUUGAAUGCAAGUUUUGUGAUAAUUAUGAUAGCAAUCAAGAUAUUGUGAAACAUUACAAAGAUUGCCAUCCACAAGAAGAAAUAUUACCUUCACGGAUACCAAAAGAUUGUGCUAACAGCCUAAUUAAUUAUUCUAUUCAAGAAAACUUAGGUUUUUGUAACAGUGAAGAGUAUGACGAAAGUAAAUCAUCAAGAAAUGAACAAGCUAUUGAUACAUAUUUUACAUGUAUAUUUUGUCAUAUAACUUAUUAUGACAUAGUAAAGUUUUAUGACCAUAUUACUUCUCAUACGGGUGAGUACAGAUAUAAAUGUAAAACCUGUGAUAAUGUAUGUGUAAAUGAAAAGGAAUUGGAAGAGCAUGUAAAAAUUCAUUCUAAUUAUGAUACGAGUGGUGGCAUAACUAGUCUCGUCUACCCAAUUCCUGUUCAAUGUAAGAAAAUUUUUGGUUAUUUAUGUCCAUUUUGUAACUAUAUUCAGUUAAUUUAUAAUAAUGUGGUUAAACAUAUGAAUCAACAUCAUUUUUCUGAAGAUAAAAAACAUAAUGGCUUAUGGACCAUAGUUCGUGUAAAUAUGUCAUAUGAUGAUAUGAAUGCACUUCAUAAUAAAAAUUUUGAAUUAACAAAUAUUAUUGGAUGCCAACCACCCUUACAAUUUAUAGGUACUCAAAAUAUGAUAGCACCUAAAGUUAAAAGUGGAGUACAUGAUUUAAAAACUCAACCUACAGUAUCGGAACUUAUUGCUCAAGCUAAGCAAAAACUACUGGAAAAUCCGGUAUCUAUUAAAAAUGAAAUAUGUGAUGAUGAAGAAUUAUCAGGUGAAACAAACAAUAUUAACUUAUAUAAAGUAUUUCAAUUAUCACAAAGUCGAGAACAUUGUCUAGAAAAUGAAUCUUUAGAUUCAAAACUACAAAUGAAUGUAUCUCCAAAAUAUGUUUUGAAAAAUAAUUUGACAAAAUUUUCUCUUGGAAAUAUAUGUUGUGAACAGAAAGAUUCUAUUCUCUUAUAUCGUUGUAAAGUACCAUCUUGUUGCAAGAGUCCUUUCUCAUCAAUGUUUUUCAAUGAAUUUUUGAAACAUGUUGAAACACAUCAUGAAUUGGAAAAUUGGAAUGGAAAAUGUGAUUUUUGUGUAAUCAGCUCAGAUAAAAAUUCUUCUAAAACUGUAUACUUAUCAAAUGCUUUACAACAUUUAGUUAAGUGUCAUCUUAUGUUAGAUGAAGGACAACAACUAAGUAUAUCUACAAUAAAUGAUAUAAGCAGUACUCAAAUUCAAUCAAAAUAUCAGAACAAUUCAACAAAAACAACUCAAGAAAAUAAAUCAAUUGUAAAAAUUCGGGUUCGCCGUUUAUCUGGUGAUAUACUUUCAGUAAAUCGUGAAAAUAAAAAUGAUAAUGAGGAAAAAAUUGAUCGCGAGAUGAUUAAAGAUAUUUCUAAUAAGUUUUUCUUAAAAAACAACUCAAAACAAGUUAUAAUUGCAAGUAUCAAUUGUGAAAUUAUAAAUAAUACAUUAAUUUACAAAUGUAUGGAAGUAUCCUGUGUAAAUGAAUUUUUAACAAAAUUCUUUAAUGAGUUUGCUACUCAUAUUAAGCAGAAUCACAAAUUAAUUGCCUGGGAUGGCAUGUGCAAUAUUUGUGGGCAUGGAUGGUGGACAAAUUUUAAUCAGUUAUACUUGGAACAUGCUCUUGAUCAUUUGAUUUUCUAUCACUUAAUAUUAUGUAAUGAGAAUUGUAAUUUUAUUCCCAAAACAAAUGUAACAGAAAACCUGUGUGUUAAUCCACCUAACUGCAAAAUAUUAGACAUUGAAUCUAUAAGUAGUAUCAAAGAGGGAACUUUGCAUAUUAAAGAAAAUACUGAAGUAUUUGUAGAAGACCCAUGCAGAAACUUAUCAGAGAGUGAAUUAUUUUCAGCAUCAACAUCUAAGCAAAUAGUGUCAGAUUCAUCACAUCCUGAUAAUGAUUCAGCACAUUCAAUUAUGAUAGUUGAUGUAAAAAGUUUAAAGAAGGGAUGCAGGUAUAAGAAAAAUAUAGAAACAAAUAAAUCUGAUAGUGAAAGUGACAAUUUGAGUAUGUGGUUGAAAGUUCCCACUAGCUGUGAAAGUGUAACUUCUAACUAUCACGAACAUCUUAAAUUGGGACAACAAGUUAUAAAUAAUGGAGUACCAAUUAAUAGAAAUUAUAUUUUAAUAGACACAAGCUACAUAAAAAAUUAUUUUAAACAUUUCCGUGAGUUGCCUGUUAAUGUAAUGAAAACUCAGUUAGCAUUUAAAGAGAUGAUGUCAAUGCCAAGACUUCUUGGCCUUUUUAAAUGUUUCGAUAGAACAUGUACAAAAAUUUUCACUUGUAAAGAGCUUUUUAAGUUGCAUAUGAAGCUGCAUUAUUCUAAUUUAGAAAAAAAAAAAAAAAGUCAAAUGUACAAUGUUGAACAAUUUAAAAAGUGUACUUAUUGCUUUAGAACAUUUGAUGACGUGGAUUCUCUUGCCAAUCAUAUUGCAGAAAAUUAUACUUUCUGUAAUUUUUUUUGCAAAUAUUGUUUCUAUCGAGCUUAUACUGCAUCUCAUGUUUUAGUACAUCAAUCAAAAUUCCAUAGCACAGCAAAGCCUUCAAUAUUACAAUUGGAGCACGAUAAUCAAAGUGAACCUUCUAAAGAAAUCUUAAAAGCUGUGGAUUAUAAUAAAUUUGUUUUACCUUAUGUGUGCAAUGUUGGGUGCUGUUCUUUUUCUUGUUAUGUACUUGAAAAUUUUAUAUCUCACUCUAAUGAUGAGCAUCAACAAUGUGAUAAAUAUAGUUGUUAUAUGUGUGCUAAUCAAGAAAACGGAGAUGGUUUCUUUGCUUUACACCCCAAAAAAAUGAUUAAACAUUUCAAACUUCAUAAUAUAAACAUGUACCAGUGUAUAUUUUGUUUGUUUGGUACUGAAAUUUUGGAUACUAUGGUGAUUCACUUAUCAAUGGAACACUUUGAAUAUGAUUCUAUAUGUUUAGAACGUUGUUUGAAAAAUAAUGUAAAUGAUUCAACAAACAUAAAUAAUUUGAAAAUUGUAAGAUUAAGUAAGGCUAUAGAAAAUGGCCUUGUACAAACUAUUAAUUUACCAGCUGGUACCAAUUCAUUACCAGAAAUUAUGCCUCAUAGAACUAAGAAAAGGCGACUACAAUGUUCAGAUGUACUUUCAGCUGCUAUGAAAUCUGCUCGCAUAAAUGAUAUUCAGACUGAAACUAAUCCAAUUGUUCUAUCAAUUACUGAUCAAACAUCUUUAGUUAACAACACAACACUUGAUACAAAUUCUGUCAGUGAAAUUGUGGCCAACAACCAGAUAAAUCAAAAUAAUUCCAAUAAAUCAUUGCAAAUCUUAGAUAUAUGGUGUAAUAAUACUGAACCUAAAAAAGGAAAUGAUGAAAUUAUUAUAAUUGAUGAUGAUGAUGAUAAUAAAAAUUAUUCUAGUGAUAAUCACUACAAUGUCAUUACAUCAUGUCCAAAAACAAUAAAUGAAAUUUCAGCCAAGCGAAAGUGUUUAAUGACUUAUUCAAAUAAAACUCCAGAAAAUAAAAUUAUCAAAACUAAAAUGUUAAUAAACACAGCUAAACCCAGAUUAUCUAUUGACAAAUUAUUUCUUUGUGAAAAAUGUGAUAAGUUAUUUUUAAAUAGUAAAGAAUUUCAAGAACAUUUAACUCAUUGUCCAUUUUGGAAUGAAGAUGGAAACAAAUGUGCCCACUGUACAAAAACUUUCAAAACUUCAACUAAUUUAAUUGAACAUAUAAAACUUCAUGGUCCUAAUCGUUUUAAAUGUUUCACUUGUGAUUAUCAUGUUCCAACUCAAAAUUUAAUAGAAAAACAUAUGAGAAAGGAACAUAACACUAUAGACAUUAAUUUAAUGCCAGUCAAUGCAAAUAAUUCUAAUUAUGAACAUGAUCAGUUUGUAGCAUACCCAAUUAAACAAACAACUAAAAAAAAUUCAAAAUUAAACAUUUAUAAAUGUGAUGAAUGUCCAAUGCAAUAUGUAACAAAAACUCAAAACCAAAAAUUGAUUGUUGAACAUUUAAAAACUGUGCAUAGUGUAUUUGAUUAUGAAUUAAUUUUGGUUAACUUAUCAAGUGAUGGUAAUAGCGAAUAUUUAGCCAAAAUAAAAAAAAUUAUACCAGAUGUCCAAUCACAACCUCAGCGUUUGGUUUCUAAGAGAAAACAUUCAAUUGACAACUAUAUUGAAGUUGUUAAAGAAUCUAAAAUAAACAGAACUGCCACUGAAAAGUCCAAAGGCUUAUGUUUUUCACCAGAUACCAUUGAUGAUAUACCAAAGUCCCACAUAUUUCCAGAAUUAAUCAGUUGUUCAGUUUGUAUGUACAGUACCAAAGUACGUUCAAAUCUUCUCAUGCAUCUUACUGGACAUAAAAAAGGACAGGAAAAUACAACUAAGGAAAUUGUUAAUCCAGUACCUUCUAUUGGGAAAUCUGAGCUUAUGUUUGAUAAAAUGAUUAAUUUAUCUGCUAGUUCAUUUGAAGCUAUGACAACUGAAAAAAUCAAAAAUAAUGAGUUGAAUAAAAGAAUAAUUGAAAAACUAAUACCAAGUGAUCAAGAUUUAUCAAUGAUUCCUGAUUUUGUGCCAAAGAAUAAAAGAUAUAAGUGUUCAAUUCCUAGUUGUUCAUAUUUAGGUAUAAAUGAAGAUAUGUUGAAAAAACAUAUUUCAAUUCUUCAUCCUGAGUAUCAAUGUUAUAUAUGUCCACAUUGUCCUGCAAUGCUUGAUAGAGUAGUUGAUUUGAAUAAAAUUGGAUUUCAUCUUUUGCAUCAUAGCGAAAAUUUGUUCAAAUGCCAAUAUUGUGAAUAUAUCCAUUAUGACAGAAAAGAAAUAAAAGCUCAUAUUAGAAACACUCAUUUAGUUGAAACAACAAAUGACAAUCAAUCUCAUAUCUAUAUUUUGAGACAACUUAAUGCUGAUCAAAAUACAAUUAUUAAUAGUGUCCCAGAAUUAUCAUCUGUUUCUGAAUGGAUUUGUAAUAUAUGUAGUUCUGGUACUAAACUUACUGAAUAUGAAAUUAAAUCUCAUAUUCUCAUAGUACAUGGUUUGUCAAAUAUGUUUAAAUGUCCAUUGUGUCAAUUUGAACAUAAUGAUGAUAAUACUAAAGUAUUUGAGGAGCAUUUCAAAACAAAACAUAAUUCUGUAGCCAUUAAAUGCUUAAAAGUUUAUGAAAAAAUAUGUGAAGAUCAGUUAGUUAAUUCACAAUGUUUAUUGGAAAAUAAUCAAGAGCAACAAGCAUUAGAAAGUAUUGAAUUUAGAAAUAUUGCCCCAAUGUGCCGUGGAAUUCCUGUUGAAUUAAUAAAUCAAAGCAAGUUACACAAGACUCGUACUGUAUCCAAAAGCCCAUUAAAAAUGCCUAAAACUUCUUCAACAGUAGCUCGAAAAAAUAAAAUAUUGACAGGCGUUUUCAGCAAAGAUGAUGAUCUGGGAAAUCUAUCUUUAAGUGGUCAAUAUUCCUGUCCUAAAUGUAAUGAUUUUUACACAUCUAAUGUAGUUAAAUUUCGUGAACAUCUUUGCAAAGAUAUAAAUUAUAAAAUAUGGAAAUGUCUGGAAUGUUCUGAAAUUUCUGAUUCACCAAGAAAAAUGGCUUGGCAUGUAAAAAAACAUAAAACUGUUGGACUCAAAUAUGAAAAAAUAGAAGACUUUGAAAAACUAGAAUGGAUUGAAGAAGUUAUUAAACAUCAAACUCUAUUACUAGAAAAAUUACAAGAUAUUCCCAAAAAGAAUUCUUUUAAUGAAGAACUGCCUCUUGUCGCAAACGUUUUUCAAGAAAAUAUCCAUAUAUCAGAAUCUCAACAACAAAAUAUUGAAAUUAUUACUCUAGAUGAUACUGAUGAUGAAUAAACUAAUAAUAUAUCUUUUAUUCAAAAUGAGAUACUUAGAGGAGGGAGAAGAAUUUCCUUACUCGUUAUAUAUGUAUAACAAUAUAUUAUUUAUGACAAAAAAAAUGUUAACAUUAGAACUCAUUUAAUAUUCUAAGAUUUAAAUUUUUUUAUUUUUCAUCUGAGAUUUCAAUGUUACUUUGAAGAGAGGGCAGGUGUAAUCAAAAUUCUUAGGUAAUGAAGUUUGUUAAAACAUAGAAUUUAAGACUGAUAUCAAGGAUUUCAUUUUUUUUUUUUAAGUAUGUACCUAAUGUUAAUGUUUAUGUACAUGAUUUUUUACUCAAAUUAAAAGUGUACAUUUUCAACCAAUUUAAUGUAAUAUAUGGUAAAAAUAUGUUUAAAGACUGUUAAGUUA
This is an RNA transcript of Daktulosphaira vitifoliae (grape phylloxera), 11274 nucleotides long. RefSeq lists it as uncharacterized. The record is from RefSeq and is a predicted model, not a curated record. The transcript is spliced from 30 exons. Lineage: Eukaryota; Metazoa; Arthropoda; Insecta; Hemiptera; Phylloxeridae.